This is a long non-coding RNA of Acanthopagrus latus (yellowfin seabream), 813 nucleotides long. RefSeq lists it as uncharacterized. The record is from RefSeq and is a predicted model, not a curated record. The transcript is spliced from 3 exons. NCBI's taxonomy places the organism in Eukaryota, Metazoa, Chordata, Actinopteri, Spariformes, Sparidae.
CCUGGCCGUUACCCCAGACCAGCUUCAAUUGAUAAAUCAGUGCAGUGAGAGUGAUCGAUAUUUACCGGCUGCUGAUCGCUGUUUCCGGCCGAUCAAUCACUGGAUCGAUCUGUUCAGAGCCUCUGGAUCAAAGUGAACACUUGAAGCAGGAAGUUUGUCUCUGGCUGCAGCCGUUAUUCAGGAAUGUGGCUGUUGUUCUGUGAGCUGUCGGAGGUGAAAGGUGGAGCUGCUGCAGAGGUGACGACUCCUCAGGUGGAAACAGGUCGAUAAGACAUGAAGUACGAGGACAGCUGAGAGGACUGCAUUAACCUGGAUAACCUGGAAACUUAAUGAGCAACUGUCGAGGUGUCCAGAGGGACGUUUCCUGCGUCACAGCUCCUCUGAUGCUGCACUUUGGAUCUCUGCAUUGCCAUCAAAAGGGUCAUGUGACUGCUUUCCAAGGCAUGCUGGGAGACCUGCCACUCUGACCCCCCCCCCCAUACACACACACACACACACACACACACACACAGCGAGGGAGUCACCUCCUCCCCCAACAUCCUCUGACAGCCACGACCCCCUGCUGAGCCUGGACCUUUAGUAAGAACUUUGAAGCCUCACUGUCUGUCCAGCAGCAGGGAUCAGACCCACCUGUCUGUCUGAAGUAUAUGAUAUCAUAUAUUAUAAAUCAUGUUUUGAAUAUUAUAUAUCGUGUGUGUGUGUGUGUGUGUGUGUGUGUGUGUGUGUGUGUGUGUGUGUUGUCACAGAAUUGUUUGUGAUGUUCUCAGCAGCAUCAGAUUUUCCACUGGAUUGGGUUGAAAUUUGUCCUGAACA